Molecule: transfer RNA, 72 nt
Filed under: Camelus dromedarius (Arabian camel)
Lineage: Eukaryota; Metazoa; Chordata; Mammalia; Artiodactyla; Camelidae
Also listed under: 1 other name
Rfam family: tRNA
About the family: Transfer RNA (tRNA) molecules are approximately 80 nucleotides in length. Their secondary structure includes four short double-helical elements and three loops (D, anti-codon, and T loops).
Source: Rfam by way of RNAcentral
AAGGGUAUAGCUCAGUGGUAGAGUGCAUACUUAGCAUGCACGAGUUUCUGGGUUCGGUCCCUAGUGCCCCCA